RNAcentral lists this ribosomal RNA (380 nucleotides) under uncultured eukaryote. Its description in RNAcentral is "partial 18S ribosomal RNA". It matches the Rfam family "Eukaryotic small subunit ribosomal RNA", at positions 592 to 976 of the family's 1831-position model. The record is from RNAcentral.
CAAUAGCGUAUAUUAAAGUUGUUGCGGUUAAAAAGCUCGUAGUUGGAUUUCUGUUGAGGACGAUCGGUCCGCCCUCUGGGUGAGUAUCUGGCUCGGCCUUGGCAUCUUCUUGGAGAACGUUGCUGCACUUCACUGUGUGGUACGGUAUCCAGGACUUUUACUUUGAGGAAAUUAGAGUGUUUCAAGCAGGCGCACGCCUUGAAUACAUUAGCAUGGAAUAAUGAGAUAGGACCUCGGUUCUAUUUUGUUGGUUUCUAGAGCUGGGGUAAUGAUUAAUAGGGAUAGUUGGGGGCAUUCGUAUUUAACUGUCAGAGGUGAAAUUCUUGGAUUUGCUAAAGACGGACUACUGCGAAAGCAUUUGCCAAGGAUGUUUUCAUUGA